Molecule: transfer RNA, 73 nt
Filed under: Caenorhabditis japonica
Lineage: Eukaryota; Metazoa; Nematoda; Chromadorea; Rhabditida; Rhabditidae
Description: tRNA CJA47662
Rfam family: tRNA
About the family: Transfer RNA (tRNA) molecules are approximately 80 nucleotides in length. Their secondary structure includes four short double-helical elements and three loops (D, anti-codon, and T loops).
Source: Rfam by way of RNAcentral
GGUCUCGUGGUGUAGUGGUUAUCACAUAUGUCUUACACACAGAAGGUCGGGGGUUCGAUCCCGCCCGGGAUCA